CCGAUCUAAAUCCUAUAUAUGAAUGAUAUCUUUUCUUCAGAUCUCUCUGUUGAUUGUUGUUCUUGUUGCGAUUUCUGACACUGUUUGGUUAGUUUUAGGUUUUUUUUUUUGAGGUAAUCGUGAAAUUCGAUUAUAUUUGAUUGGAUGUUAUUGUUGUUGUUUAUAUUCAUGUUCUAGGUUUUGUAUGCCCUUGGAUCGUUUCGAUAGUUUCACUCUGGAAUUUUGUGCUUUGUUAUUGGUGUUGCCAUGUUGUUGUGUAUGAUCUUUAUCAAUCCGGCUAGCCCGCUUGGAUUGAGUGAUUUGAUGAGAAAUCGUAAGAAACGAUGAGAUUCUCAUGUUUGGUUUACAAAUCGAGUAAGAAAUGGAGUGAGAGAAUUCAAUAUGCCACUUUUAUUUCUCACCAAAAAUGGUGAGAAACUAUACUGAUUGGCCGUAUAUUUUUAUACUACUAAGGUUACAGAAGAAAAAUAAAUCUCACCCACAUCACACAAUCAUUUCAUUUCACAAUCGUUUUUUAUGUCGGUUUGAUGCACAUGCCACGCUGAGGAUGGGAUGUAGGUGUUUGGGCCUAAUUGUUUGCUGAUCAUUAUCGUAUCUGUGCUAGCCUCCUCUCCUUUUUCUCCAUCUGGAAUAUUGUUUUUCAGAUGAUGCUAUUUAUGUUUCCUGAGGUUGAUAUGUUAUAGUGUCUACGAAUUUUUUUUUACCCUGAAAAAGUACCUAUAAAGUGCCUUCAAUUUAUAAAUGUGUGGUGUAGAUUUAAAUUGUCACACAAUCACAGCACCUUUGAUCAUCCUCACUAGCCCCAGACUUGGUUUGGAGAAUGAGAUUCAAUUAUUAUGAUGUUGACAUUUUCCCUCCAAAUUUUUGGUAAAUAGACAGCAUUCGAUGCUUCUUUACUUUCAAGAAAUAUUAUUAAUAUCAUAUAAUGCUAGUGCUUACUGAUUAAUGCAGGAGUCUAAAAUUUUUUCAAAUUCACUGAAUUUUUAAAAUUUUUUGCAUGUAUUAGGCUCGGUUGCAUUGGCCCUUUCAUAUGAUGGAUGGAAACGCAUUAGAGCAUCUCUAAUCCUUGCUCUCUCUUUUUUCAUCAAAUUUGAUUGAAAAUUUGGUUAAAAGCUCGAUUUUCUCUCUAUCUCUUUGUAUGUAAUUGAUUGAUUGAUUGGUUCGUUUAUAUUCACGUGAUACCCCUAGAUCGUUUUGAAAUUUUCCGUCUCGAAUAUCAUUUUUUGAGAUUGAUGUUGGUUGUAGGGUUGUUGUUAGGUUUGAUGCGUAUCAAACGCACUGCACAUGAUGUUGAUAUUUGGAUUCGAGGCUAUUAUUUGCUGAUCGUUAUCAUCUAUUUUUCUGAGCCCCAAAUCCUUCUUGUGUUUUUUUUUUUUGUUUCUGUGAUGAUGCUUUAUUUAUGUGUUCUGAUGAUGCUAUUUAUGUAUCUGAUCCAUGCUUUAUAAGUUCUCUCUGGGUCCUUUUUCUUGAUUGAUUGUUGUUAUUUUAUUUUAUUUUAUUUUUUUUUGAGAACUGUCUAAUUUUUGCAUGCAUUAGGCUCGGUUGCAUUGGCCCUUUCAUAUGAUGGAUGGAAACACAUUAGAGCAUCUCUAAUCCUUGCUCUCUCUUUUUUCAUCAAAUUUGUUUGAAAAUUUGGUUAAAAGCUCGAUCUAGUAUUGGAACGCUCCAAUCCUUUGUUUUUUGUUUUUAUCAAAUCUUUUUGAAAAAUCCCAAACUUAUCCUAAAAUAUUGUUUUAACCAUUUCUGAUGAAAUAAAAUAACUCCUUAUUCUUACUCU
This is a non-coding RNA of Camellia sinensis, 1777 nucleotides long. The record is from RefSeq and is a predicted model, not a curated record. NCBI's taxonomy places the organism in Eukaryota, Viridiplantae, Streptophyta, Magnoliopsida, Ericales, Theaceae.